This 1599-nucleotide unclassified non-coding RNA is filed under the name Zea mays. RNAcentral's name for it is "misc RNA Zm00001eb411030". The record is from RNAcentral. Lineage: Eukaryota; Viridiplantae; Streptophyta; Magnoliopsida; Poales; Poaceae.
CCCAUUCAAAUGACAAGAGUACAAAACUAUUCGUCGACGGCAUCUUGGCUGCUUACAAAUACACUAGCCCCUGUCUAACCUUGCUACACUGCACACCUGACAACUUCAUGUCAUCACGUGCUUGUUCCUUGCGUGGACAUGAUGCAUCUGUGUACUCGGUGUCUGGAACGUCACGACAACGCCGCCCGUGGCGACGGCGCAGCACCGGCGUCGAAGAGUGCCUCCAUCUCCUCGAGGCUCCUCCCCUUGGUCUCAGGCAGGCACGCGUAGACGAACACCCACGCCGCCGCGGACAUCGCCGCGAAGAUGUAGAAGGUCCCGGCCAUGCCCACCGCCUCGUACAUCGGGAUGAAGGUCAUCCCCACGAUGGCGCUCAUCACCCGGUUGACCGCCGUCCCGACGCCAGUCCCCUGCGCGCGCAGCCGCAGCGGCAGGAUCUCCGACCCGUACAUCCAGAUCACGGGUCCGAACCCCAGCGAGAAGGUCGCCAUGAACGCCACGGCGGCGGCGACGCACGUCGCGGCCGACGUCGCGCGUAUGGACAGGCCGAGGACCAGAAGCGACGCGGCCAUGCCGCCCGCGCUGGUGAGCAGCAUGGGCCGGCGGCCGAGGCUGUCGGCGAGGAACAGAGGGACGACGAUCGCCACCGUCUUGGCGGCGCCGAGGAGGACGGUGGCGCCGAGCACGUCGCGCUCGGAGGUGAUCCCGACGUGGCUGAACACGCGCGGGGCGUACAGCACCAUGGCCGCCACGCCGCACGCCUGCUGGAACACCUGCAGCCCCAGGAUGGCCAGCAUCACGCGGCGGACGGCGGGCGUCGGCCGGAGCAGGAUCUCGCGCCGCACGCUCGCCGACGACGGCGCGUCGCCGCCGCCGGAGCCCGCCUGCUUCGUGGCCUCCUGCACGGACGUCAAGAUCUCCUGGAGCCGGCGGUCCGCGUCCCCCACCGUGCGCUCCAGCACGCGGCGCGCCUCGUCGCGGUGGCCGUGGAGGACGAGCCAGCGCGGGGUCUCCGGCAUGGCAAGCGCGGCCGCGGCCGCUAGGAAUAGAGGAGGGACGGCGCCGAUGCCGAUCAUCAGGCGCCAGUUGAGUGGCGUCGGGAGGCCGGCGAGCGCGAAGUCGGCGAUGUAGCUCAGCAGGAUGCCCGAGUUGCCGGCGAUCUGACGUCACAAAGCAUGAUUAUAGGUCACAAGAAAUAAUAAUAACUGUCAAUCGUCUCGAUCGCAUCUAGGCCAUUUCCUAAAAGCUGUCAUCAGCUGUGGCCCCCAAAAGCUGGCGUCCAGUUUGCCACUGAUCUAGACCUUUUUCCUAAAACCAUGCGCGCGCACGCAAAACCUCUCGUGGAAAAAAAAUGCAAGUGAAUAAAAGAAUGCAAGUGGAAGAUGUGAAAAAAAAAGCAUCAUGGUGAAUAAAAUUAAGCAUGCAAGUUUUGAUUGGAUGUCAUCUGUUAGGCCUCCGUUGACAUUAUUGUACCAGCUGUACUCUUUCGCUAAAUAGUAGUCGUUUUAAAGAAUCAGUGGUUUAUACAAUUCUUUACGCAUGUUAUAUCAAACGACUAAUGUUUUGGAACCGAGAGAGUACUCUGAUAAUUCAACGUGC